GACGAACCGUGCGAACGUUGUUCGGAAUCACUGGGCUUAAAGGGCGCGUAGGCGGGCCAUCAAGUCAGGGGUGAAAUCCUCCAGCUCAACUGGAGAACAGCUUUUGAUACUGGUGGCCUCGAGGGGGGUAGGGGCAUGUGGAACUUCCGGUGGAGCGGUGAAAUGCGUAGAUAUCUGGAGGAAUACCGGUGGCGAAGGCGGCAUCCUGGACCGACAUUGACGCUGAUGAGCGAAAGCUAGGGGAGCAAACGGG
RNAcentral lists this ribosomal RNA (253 nucleotides) under uncultured bacterium. Its description in RNAcentral is "partial 16S ribosomal RNA". It matches the Rfam family "Bacterial small subunit ribosomal RNA", at positions 524 to 776 of the family's 1533-position model. The record is from RNAcentral.